GGCCUAACACAUGCAAGUCGAGCGGUAAGGGCUUUCGGGGUACACGAGCGGCGAACGGGUGAGUAACACGUGGGUGAUCUGCCCUGCGCUUCGGGAUAAGCCUGGGAAACUGGGUCUAAUACCGGAUAUGACCUCCUAUCGCAUGGUGGGUGGUGGAAAGAUUUAUCGCUGCACGAUGGGCCCGCGGCCUAUCAGCUUGUUGGUGGGGUAAUGGCCUACCAGGGCGACUACGGCUACCCGACCUGAAAGGGUGACCGGCCACACUGGAACUGAGACCCGGCCCAAACUCCUACGGGAGGCAGAAUCGGGGAAUAUUGCACAAUGGGCAAACGCCUGAUGCGGCGACGCCGCGGGAGGGAUGACGGCCUUCGGGUUGUAAACCUCUUUCAGCAGGGACGAUCCGCGAGUGACGGUACCUGCAUAAAAACCACCGGCUAACUACAUGCCAGCAUCCGCGGAAAUACGUACGGUGCAAGCGGUGUCCGGAAUUACUGGGCGAAAAAAGUUCGUAAGCGGGUUGUCACGUCGUGUGUGAAAACCAACAGCUCAACUGCUGGCUUGCCGGAGAUACGGGCAGACUUGACUACUGCAGGGGAGACUGCAAUUCCUGCUGUAUCGAUGAACUGAGAAGAUAUCGGGAUGAACACCGGUGACGAAAG
Molecule: ribosomal RNA, 659 nt
Filed under: uncultured Actinomycetales bacterium
Lineage: Bacteria; Bacillati; Actinomycetota; Actinomycetes; Actinomycetales
Description: bacterial SSU rRNA
Rfam family: Bacterial small subunit ribosomal RNA
Source: RNAcentral